Molecule: small RNA, 105 nt
Filed under: bovine gut metagenome
Description: RT-5 RNA
Rfam family: RT-5 RNA
About the family: Clostridium (Firmicutes).
Source: RNAcentral
UUGCGCCUGCGGCAGAUCCGGCACGGUACUUAUCAGGGCUUCGCAGGCAGCCGUACCGUGUACGAUCCAGUAUAUCCAAGAAUUUUCUUGGAUUUAACGAUUUCU